This 860-nucleotide ribosomal RNA is filed under the name uncultured bacterium. RNAcentral's name for it is "bacterial SSU rRNA". It matches the Rfam family "Bacterial small subunit ribosomal RNA", at positions 96 to 970 of the family's 1533-position model. The record is from RNAcentral.
UGGCGAACGGGUGAGUAACGCGUGAGGAACCUGCCUCAAAGAGGGGGACAACAGUUGGAAACGACUGCUAAUACCGCAUAAGCCCACGGGUCGGCAUCGACCAGAGGGAAAAGGAGCAAUCCGCUUUGAGAUGGCCUCGCGUCCGAUUAGCUAGUUGGUGAGGUAACGGCCCACCAAGGCGACGAUCGGUAGCCGGACUGAGAGGUUGAACGGCCACAUUGGGACUGAGACACGGCCCAGACUCCUACGGGAGGCAGCAGUGGGGAAUAUUGCACAAUGGGGGAAACCCUGAUGCAGCGACGCCGCGUGGAGGAAGAAGGUCUUCGGAUUGUAAACUCCUGUUGUUGAGGAAGAUAAUGACGGUACUCAACAAGGAAGUGACGGCUAACUACGUGCCAGCAGCCGCGGUAAAACGUAGGUCACAAGCGUUGUCCGGAAUUACUGGGUGUAAAGGGAGCGCAGGCGGGAAGACAAGUUGGGAGUGAAAUCCAUGGGCUCAACCCAUGAACUGCUUUCAAAACUGUUUUUCUUGAGUAGUGCAGAGGUAGGCGGAAUUCCCGGUGUAGCGGUGGAAUGCGUAGAUAUCGGGAGGAACACCAGUGGCGAAGGCGGCCUACUGGGCACCAACUGACGCUGAGGCUCGAAAGUGUGGGUAGCAAACAGGAUUAGAUACCCUGGUAGUCCACACCGUAAACGAUGAUUACUAGGUGUUGGAGGAUUGACCCCUUCAGUGCCGCAGUUAACACAAUAAGUAAUCCACCUGGGGAGUACGACCGCAAGGUUGAAACUCAAAGGAAUUGACGGGGGCCCCGCACAAGCAGUGGAGUAUGUGGUUUUAAUUCGACGCAACGCGAAGAACC